This 443-nucleotide ribosomal RNA is filed under the name uncultured bacterium. RNAcentral's name for it is "bacterial SSU rRNA". It matches the Rfam family "Bacterial small subunit ribosomal RNA", at positions 338 to 795 of the family's 1533-position model. The record is from RNAcentral.
CCUANGGGGGGCAGCAAUUAGGAAUUUUGCGCAAUGGACGAAAGUCUGACGCAGCGACGCCGCGUGGAGGAUGAAGGUUUUCGGAUCGUAAACUCCUUUUAUGUGGGAACAAGUUCUGAGGGUACCACAUGAAUAAGGUGCUGCAAACUACGUGCCAGAAGCAUCGGUGAUACGUAGGCACCAAACAUUAUCCGGAUUUACUGGGCGUAAAGAGAUGCGUAGGCGUCUUGAUAAGUCUGGUGUGAAAGCCCAUGGCUCAACCAUGGAAUCGCAUUAGAAACUAUCAAGAUUGAGUAAGACAGGGGGAAACGGAACUUCUAGUGUAGCAGUGAAAUGCGUUGAUAUUAGAAGGAACACCAAUAGCGAAGGCAGUUUCCUGGGUCUUUACUGACGCUAAGGCUCGAAAGUGUGGGGAGCAAAACGGAUUAGAUACCCUGNUANUC